RNAcentral lists this ribosomal RNA (274 nucleotides) under uncultured bacterium. RNAcentral describes it as "partial 16S ribosomal RNA". It matches the Rfam family "Bacterial small subunit ribosomal RNA", at positions 523 to 796 of the family's 1533-position model. The record is from RNAcentral.
AUACGGAGGGUGCGAGCGUUAAUCGGAAUUACUGGGCGUAAAGCGUGCGUAGGCGGUUUGCUAAGUCGGAUGUGAAAGCCCCGGGCUUAACCUGGGAACUGCAUUUGAUACUGGCAGACUAGAGUAUGAUAGAGGGGGGUAGAAUUCCUGGUGUAGCGGUGAAAUGCGUAGAUAUCAGGAGGAAUACCAGUGGCGAAGGCGGCCCCCUGGAUCAAUACUGACGCUGAGGUACGAAAGCGUGGGGAGCGAACAGGAUUAGAAACCCUAGUAGUCC